AAUAGAUACCCAGGUAGUCCUAGCCGUAAACGAUGAGCACUGGGUUGAAGGGUCCUCCAUAGCCUUUCAGCCGUAGCGAAAGUGUUAAGUGCUCCGCCUGGGGAGUAUGGUCGCAAGGCUGAAACUCAAAGAAAUUGACGGGGGCUCACACAAGCGGUGGAGGAUGUGGCUUAAUUCGAGGCUACGCGAAGAACCUUAUCCUAGUCUUGACAUGCACGGAUUAACUCCCUGAAAGGGGAGCCACGCCUUCGGGUGGAACGUGCACAGGUGCUGCAUGGCUGUCGUCAGCUCGUGCUGUGAAGUGUCGGGUUAAGUCCCUUAACGAGCGAACCCUUGUCGCUAGUUGCCAGCGAGUCAUGUCGGGGACUCUAGCGAGACCGCCGGUGUUAAACCGGAGGAAGGUGGGGAUGACGUCAAGUCCUCAUGGCCUUUAUGACUAGGGCUGCACACGUCCUACAAUGGCAUGCACAAAGGGACGCAAAGUCGCGAGACCAAGCAAAUCCCAAAAAACACUGCCCCAGUUCGGAUUGC
Molecule: ribosomal RNA, 531 nt
Filed under: uncultured bacterium
Lineage: Bacteria
Description: bacterial SSU rRNA
Rfam family: Bacterial small subunit ribosomal RNA
Source: RNAcentral